This 1295-nucleotide long non-coding RNA is filed under the name Anas platyrhynchos platyrhynchos (common mallard). Its description in RNAcentral is "lncRNA (ENSAPLG00000030648.1)". Lineage: Eukaryota; Metazoa; Chordata; Aves; Anseriformes; Anatidae. The record is from RNAcentral.
AUGUACACACAAGCGAUUUUGGAGACCAGCUUUCCCGAAACUCGGGGCUGUUUUUUUCACAGGAGACAGCGCCACAUACUGGUUUUGCGAAUGAAUUCGUGGGCAGAGAUUAAAGAGACUGUUACAUGUCUGCUGCAUAUUCAGUUCACCAGUAUUCAGGACAUACAUAAAGAAGGUAAUAUAUGUAAGAUAUACAGUAAUUUAGACGUAAUAUUAGAUAUAGUUUUUAAUCUAUAUUAACAUUACUUAUAGAUUUGUAAAGCUGUGGGAGAUGGCUGAACCACUUGUGAUUUCUUGUUCAUAAUUUCCUGCUAGCAGCAGCUCACCAAAGAAAUUGCAGUAGCAAGAGCUGUGCUAGGUAGUGGUCUUUAAUUUGCUGUCUGAGGUUUGAAUACAGACUGUGUCUGCUGCAGUUUACUGGUGCUCAAGGGAAGCUGAAAGCAUUUACCAUGGACAAUGAAGUCAUUUUGAAAGAUGCUUCCACAAAAUUGUUUCUUUCUGCAAGUGAAACGAUGGAAGCCAGAAGUGAUAUUAAAAGCAGAAUGAAUUUGUGCCAGAAGUUGUGUCUGCUGUGAAAUCUUGAUGCCUGUGACUGAGAGGAUGAAACAGACUUUCAUAUGAAUUUGCACAUUCCUUUGAGGACCAAAUACAUCUUGGUUCCUGUGCUAAGGGCAACAUAGUAACUCUUGAGAGUUACCAUGCCCAACUCUGGGUUCUCAAAGGCGCAUUUCUUGCCCGUGGAAGUCACACAUGGGAUCCCUGAAGUUAAGACUUUCUGAAACAUCUUUUGAGGAAAAUGAUUUUGUAUAGUCCUAACUAUACAAAAGUCCUGAAAGCAAAUUCCAGAAAUCUCUAUAGCUGAUACUCUUCAUUCAUAGGUGAAGAACUGUAGUCAUUAUAAUAAUACUUUCUGACAGGAACAAAUCAAUUUUCUUUGUCACUGUUUUAUCUUGUAUGAGGAAAAUCCAUGGUAGGUAGUUGGAAUAUUAGCAGUGGAGUUAGCGGUCAUAGUGGAAGGCAGGACAAAGUAAUGUUUCACUGUUCAAAAAUUUCACCAUCUGUGUCUAAAGCAUAAGUCAACAGAUGCUUGUCCAAAGAUUGCUGUUAAAAUGCAGGAAAACAGGUGAUUUUGAACGAUGUGGUAGGCCUCAUCACAUGGACGCAGGAAACACAGGCACAAUGAGUUCUGAGGAAGCAUCUGGAGGAAAGUGGUGAGAUAGCUUGAGAGAUAUUCACUGGGCACUCUUCUCAAACACAGGAAUAAAAGUAACAGAAAGCAUGAAAGUCCUUAUUUA